RNAcentral lists this unclassified non-coding RNA (232 nucleotides) under uncultured fungus. RNAcentral's name for it is "sequence contains ITS1". Lineage: Eukaryota; Fungi. The record is from RNAcentral.
GUAUUGUAUUGCGUUAAACGCGAUGCGCAUUCCAUGAGACUUCGUUACGGUGUGUGUGUAAAGACGCAGAACCACGGCAAGGGGACGGAGUCGCCCAGGCCACAGAACCACAGAGGGUGCACAGGUGUGAGUGGAUGUGUAAACAGAGCGUGCACAUGCCCCCAUUUGAGGACCAGCAACAACUCGUGUUGACAAUUCGGUAAUGAUCCUUCCGCAGGUUCACCUACGGAAA